UACGAAGGUCCCAAGCGUUGUUCGGAAUCACUGGGCGUAAAGCGCACGUAGGCGGCUCUUUAAGUCAGGGGUGAAAUCCUGGAGCUCAACUCCAGAACUGCCUUUGAUACUGAGGGGCUUGAGUCCGGGAGAGGUGAGUGGAACUGCGAGUGUAGAGGUGAAAUUCGUAGAUAUUCGCAAGAACACCAGUGGCGAAGGCGGCUCACUGGCCCGGUACUGACGCUGAGGUGCGAAAGCGUGGGGAGCAAACAGG
This 253-nucleotide ribosomal RNA is filed under the name uncultured bacterium. RNAcentral's name for it is "partial 16S ribosomal RNA". It matches the Rfam family "Bacterial small subunit ribosomal RNA", at positions 524 to 776 of the family's 1533-position model. The record is from RNAcentral.